Molecule: ribosomal RNA, 301 nt
Filed under: uncultured eukaryote
Lineage: Eukaryota
Description: SSU rRNA
Rfam family: Eukaryotic small subunit ribosomal RNA
Source: RNAcentral
CUGGUUGAUCCUGCCAGUAGUCAUAUGCUUGUCUCAAAGAUUAAGCCAUGCAUGUCUAAGUGUAAAUACGUCUACACUGUGAAACUGCGAAUGGCUCAUUAAAUCAGUUAUCGUUUAUUUGAUGAUCUCUUGUUACAUGGAUAACCGUAGUAAUUCUAGAGCUAAUACAUGCGUCAAGCCCCGACUCACGAAGGGGUGUAUUUAUUAGAUUCAAAACCAACCGUGGUACCCCCACGUCCCUUGGUGAUUCAUAAUAACUUGUCGAACCGCAUGACCUUGCGUUGGCGGUGAUUCAUUCAAA